This 201-nucleotide ribosomal RNA is filed under the name uncultured prokaryote. RNAcentral describes it as "partial 16S ribosomal RNA". It matches the Rfam family "Bacterial small subunit ribosomal RNA", at positions 524 to 724 of the family's 1533-position model. The record is from RNAcentral.
UACAGAGGUCCCGAGCGUUGUUCGGAUUCACUGGGCGUAAAGGGUGCGUAGGUGGCGAGGUAAGUCGGAUGUGAAAUCUCGGAGCUCAACUCCGAAACUGCAUUGGAAACUACCUUGCUCGAGGGUUGGAGGGGGGACUGGAAUUCCUGGUGUAGCAGUGAAAUGCGUAGAUAUCAGGAGGAAUACCGAUGGCGAAGGCAG